Molecule: ribosomal RNA, 253 nt
Filed under: uncultured bacterium
Lineage: Bacteria
Description: partial 16S ribosomal RNA
Rfam family: Bacterial small subunit ribosomal RNA
Source: RNAcentral
UACGGGGGGGGCAAGCGUUGUUCGGAAUUACUGGGCGUAAAGGGUGCGUAGGCGGCUUUCUAAGUUGGAUGUGAAAACUAUGGGCUCAACCCAUAGCCUGCAUCCAAAACUGGAGAGCUUGGGUUCUGGAGGGGAAAGCGGAAUUCCGGGUGUAGCGGUGGAAUGCGUAGAUAUCCGGAAGAACACCGGUGGCGAAGGCGGCCCGCUGGGCUAUUGCUGACACUGAAACACGACAGCGUGGGGAGCAAACAGG